GAACGCAAAUUGCACUCCCUGGUAUUCUGGGGAGUAUGCCUGUUUGAGGGUCAGUUUAAAUAAAAAUCGGUGUGUUGCUUUUUUGUAUCACCUCGGAAUUGGGUUUUCUUAGCCUUCGGGUUAAGAGACUUAAAAUUGAUUUUUUUUGUGCAUUUUUAUAGACGUACAUAAGAUAUUUUUUUAUUCGCCUUGGAAUGCCAAAUUUAUUAGGUAUGAUCAUGUUGUGUGGUUUCGUACCUAUAAGUUUCAUCAUCUGACCUCAAAUCAGGUAGGGACACCCGCUGAACUUAAG
RNAcentral lists this unclassified non-coding RNA (292 nucleotides) under uncultured Glomerales. RNAcentral describes it as "sequence contains 5.8S rRNA gene". The stretch from base 1 to 53 matches the Rfam family "5.8S ribosomal RNA", at positions 102 to 154 of the family's 154-position model. The record is from RNAcentral. Lineage: Eukaryota; Fungi; Glomeromycota; Glomeromycetes; Glomerales; Glomeraceae.